This 270-nucleotide ribosomal RNA is filed under the name Acinetobacter baumannii. RNAcentral describes it as "partial 23S ribosomal RNA". It matches the Rfam family "Bacterial large subunit ribosomal RNA", at positions 2341 to 2610 of the family's 2925-position model. Lineage: Bacteria; Pseudomonadati; Pseudomonadota; Gammaproteobacteria; Moraxellales; Moraxellaceae. The record is from RNAcentral.
UGCUAAUAGUGCAAUGGCAUAAGCGUGCUUAACUGCGAGACCCACAAGUCGAGCAGGUACGAAAGUAGGACAUAGUGAUCCGGUGGUUCUGUAUGGAAGGGCCAUCGCUCAACGGAUAAAAGGUACUCUGGGGAUAACAGGCUGAUUCCUCCCAAGAGUUCAUAUCGACGGGGGAGUUUGGCACCUCGAUGUCGGCUCAUCACAUCCUGGGGCUGUAGCCGGUCCCAAGGGUAUGGCUGUUCGCCAUUUAAAGUGGUACGUGAGCUGGGU